GAUUAGAUACCCCACUAUGCCUGAUGUAAAAAAACAAUAAAACUACGAAUUGUUCGCCAAACAACUACGAGUGAAAACUUAAAACUUAAAAGACUUGACGGUACUUCACAUCGACCUAGAGGAGCCUGUCCAAUAACCGAUAAUCCACGAUUAACCCAACCCCCCCUAGCCUAACAGUCUAUAUACCGCCGUCGCCAGCUUACCUUGUGAAAGAAACAAAGUGAGCCAAAUAGUAAACGCUAGAACGACAGGUCGAGGUGUAACCAAUGGGGAGGGCAAAGAUGGGCUACAUUUUCUAAUAUAGAACAAACGAAUAAACUAUGAAACUAGAAACCGAAGGCGGAUUUAGUAGUAAGAAAGGAAUAAAUAUGCCUUUCCGAAAUUAAUGCAAUGAAGUGCGUACACACCGCCCGUCAUUCCUGUAAAAACCAUAUAUUUUACAUAAAACCAAGCUAAACACAACACAGGACAAGUCGUAACA
RNAcentral lists this ribosomal RNA (481 nucleotides) under Prosymna frontalis. RNAcentral describes it as "partial 12S ribosomal RNA". The stretch from base 60 to 481 matches the Rfam family "Microsporidia small subunit ribosomal RNA", at positions 752 to 1276 of the family's 1311-position model. The record is from RNAcentral. Lineage: Eukaryota; Metazoa; Chordata; Lepidosauria; Squamata; Prosymnidae.